This 1657-nucleotide ribosomal RNA is filed under the name Enterobacter hormaechei. RNAcentral's name for it is "partial 23S ribosomal RNA". It matches the Rfam family "Bacterial large subunit ribosomal RNA", at positions 1292 to 2925 of the family's 2925-position model. Lineage: Bacteria; Pseudomonadati; Pseudomonadota; Gammaproteobacteria; Enterobacterales; Enterobacteriaceae. The record is from RNAcentral.
GAAUGCUGACAUAAGUAACGAUAAAGCGGGUGAAAAGCCCGCUCGCCGGAAGACCAAGGGUUCCUGUCCAACGUUAAUCGGGGCAGGGUGAGUCGACCCCUAAGGCGAGGCCGAAAGGCGUAGUCGAUGGGAAACAGGUUAAUAUUCCUGUACUUGGUGUUACUGCGAAGGGGGGACGGAGAAGGCUAUGUCAGCCGGGCGACGGUUGUCCCGGUUUAAGCAUGUAGGCGGAGGUUCCAGGUAAAUCCGGUACCUUAUUAACGCUGAGGUGUGAUGACGAGGCACUACGGUGCUGAAGUGAUAAAUGCCCUGCUUCCAGGAAAAGCCUCUAAGCAUCAGGUAACACGAAAUCGUACCCCAAACCGACACAGGUGGUCAGGUAGAGAAUACCAAGGCGCUUGAGAGAACUCGGGUGAAGGAACUAGGCAAAAUGGUGCCGUAACUUCGGGAGAAGGCACGCUGAUAUGUAGGUGAAGUCCCUGCGGACGGAGCUGAAAUCAGUCGAAGAUACCAGCUGGCUGCAACUGUUUAUUAAAAACACAGCACUGUGCAAACACGAAAGUGGACGUAUACGGUGUGACGCCUGCCCGGUGCCGGAAGGUUAAUUGAUGGGGUUAGCGGCAACGCGAAGCUCUUGAUCGAAGCCCCGGUAAACGGCGGCCGUAACUAUAACGGUCCUAAGGUAGCGAAAUUCCUUGUCGGGUAAGUUCCGACCUGCACGAAUGGCGUAAUGAUGGCCAGGCUGUCUCCACCCGAGACUCAGUGAAAUUGAACUCGCUGUGAAGAUGCAGUGUACCCGCGGCAAGACGGAAAGACCCCGUGAACCUUUACUAUAGCUUGACACUGAACACUGGUCCUUGAUGUGUAGGAUAGGUGGGAGGCUUUGAAGCGUGGACGCCAGUCUGCGUGGAGCCAACCUUGAAAUACCACCCUUUAAUGGCUGGUGUUCUAACGUAGACCCGUAAUCCGGGUUGCGGACAGUGUCUGGUGGGUAGUUUGACUGGGGCGGUCUCCUCCCAAAGAGUAACGGAGGAGCACGAAGGUUGGCUAAUCCUGGUCGGACAUCAGGAGGUUAGUGCAAUGGCAUAAGCCAGCUUGACUGCGAGCGUGACGGCGCGAGCAGGUGCGAAAGCAGGUCAUAGUGAUCCGGUGGUUCUGAAUGGAAGGGCCAUCGCUCAACGGAUAAAAGGUACUCCGGGGAUAACAGGCUGAUACCGCCCAAGAGUUCAUAUCGACGGCGGUGUUUGGCACCUCGAUGUCGGCUCAUCACAUCCUGGGGCUGAAGUAGGUCCCAAGGGUAUGGCUGUUCGCCAUUUAAAGUGGUACGCGAGCUGGGUUUAGAACGUCGUGAGACAGUUCGGUCCCUAUCUGCCGUGGGCGCUGGAGAAUUGAGGGGGGCUGCUCCUAGUACGAGAGGACCGGAGUGGACGCAUCACUGGUGUUCGGGUUGUCAUGCCAAUGGCACUGCCCGGUAGCUAAAUGCGGAAGAGAUAAGUGCUGAAAGCAUCUAAGCACGAAACUUGCCCCGAGAUGAGUUCUCCCUGAGACUUUAAGUCUCCUGAAGGAACGUUGAAGACUACGACGUUGAUAGGUCGGGUGUGUAAGCGCAGCGAUGCGUUGAGCUAACCGAUACUAAUGAACCGUGAGGCUUAACCUU